RNAcentral lists this small nucleolar RNA (95 nucleotides) under Dipodomys ordii (Ord's kangaroo rat). RNAcentral's name for it is "Small nucleolar RNA U13". It matches the Rfam family "Small nucleolar RNA U13". Lineage: Eukaryota; Metazoa; Chordata; Mammalia; Rodentia; Heteromyidae. The record is from Rfam by way of RNAcentral.
AUCCUUUGAUAGUUCAUAAGCAUGAUGACCAGGUUUUCAUCAUGUUAGAUGUGCCUGUUUCAAAGCUUAUGACAAAGUCAACACAUUAACUGACA